GCAGUGAGGCUGAUUAACCGAAGUGAACAAACGAGAUCGCCUAAUACUGUACCCACAGUAGGCUUGCAAAGAAGGCUGGCGAACUCUAGGUAGGGUGUCAGCGUGAACUGUUGGUCUCCAGUCGUUGAUAAGAAGAAUUGAUAACUCUGUACGGAAGCGAGAGAGAGGGCCGAGAGGAGGCGAGGCGAGGAGUUUGAGAUUGUCCUUGACAAAGCCAACCAUUUCCAUGCUCUCACUCCAGAGGAAACCGGCGACAUUUCCAUCGAUGGGCAGCAGCGCCACUGGUUCGUGGUUUGCUAUCAGCGGUCGGGGUUACAGGGGAUUAAAAUCGACUG
RNAcentral lists this small RNA (335 nucleotides) under Histoplasma capsulatum var. duboisii H88. RNAcentral describes it as "Histoplasma capsulatum H88 hypothetical RNA". The record is from RNAcentral. Lineage: Eukaryota; Fungi; Ascomycota; Eurotiomycetes; Onygenales; Ajellomycetaceae.